AAGCCUGACACGAAACCAAGAGUAAACAGGGUAAAUGCUACAUCUUCACAGUACAUUAAAUAUGUUCACUCAAACUCAGUUGAGUGCUGGUUAGGUAACUUUAAUCCUCCAUGUUUUUACUCAGUUUGUUUCGCCAGCUAUGCUUUGCAGCGAAUAUAAAUACCUUCAUAACAUUUAAAUAAAAUGUGUUCUUCUAUGAAACAGUAAAAAUGGUUGAGGGGUUUAUAAUUUAGCUGAAUGGACAUAACUAGAGCUGUACUACUUGUGCCUAGUUAACUUGCCAACAAUGUUCUUACUGUAAAUGUCAUUACGGUUACAUGCUCACAUUAAUGUGGUUAUUGUGCAUAGUCAUUAAUAAAAUAGUUCGAUUCAAACGUUUAGAUGCUUUGCAAGAAUAACGAUCUCUCUAAUAAUCAUGUAUACAUGGACACGUCGGAAAUCAGGUUACCCGAUGGCACUCUGACAAAUGCAGAAAAUCGCCAAUCAAAAUAAACGUUCUACCACUGCGACCGCGUUAUUUUUUGGGAAGCAUAGUUGACAUAUAAAGCUUUUAUGUGAAAACUACGUAUGAAGCCGAAACCACAGAGACACGCCGUUAAAAUUUGCGUGCGAGAGUAGAGUGCGUCAAUUCACAUACACAGUAUCGCAUAUGCCAAUUUAAUGGUCAUUACAUAACAAACAGUUGUAUUUGUUAUGUUCGCUAUGUGCCCUUGUGAAUUAUUGUGUUCCUUUUGAUUAACGUUGUCCUACAGGAGCAACCGUACAUGCCUACUCUAAACAGUUAUGUUAGCUCACGAAUGUGAAGAGUUGUUGCUCAUACACCCGAGCAGAUUUUUAAGAAUGUAUCUUGUCUCAUUCGUUCUACACAACAGUAUUCUCUCUUGAAAUCAGAGUUCCUCGAGUUUCCCAGCCCUAGCCUGCCUAAGCUAAGUUAUAUUCCUGUGAUGGAAAUCAACACAGGUGCCUCCUUGCUUUGCUGUUCAUUGCUAUCCUUAUCAACAAGUUGAUAGGACCGUCUUUCUCCACCCUCUUCGAGUUAGACAGUGGUCGGAGCGACACCGACAAGCAUAUGCUGCCCCCCUCUCCUCCUGAGACUGAAGGCUCUAUUCCCGUUCCAUACCGACUAGCUCGUGUCAGCUCCAGCAGAAAGCAGCAGGUUCAGGAAGAGCCUGAAGCCUUCCAGAGCCCAGUGAGGUGUCUUUCCAAUUCCAGAGCCUGGUGAGGUGCCUUUCCAGGGUGGAGAAGACCCUUUACUGCACCAUUGGUGCCCCGGCUCUAUCAAGAUUCCUUGGCACGAGCAGAACAACCAGGAACCAGCAGUAAGGUUCUGAUAUCUUUUGGUUUAUGUUCAUGAUUUCUUAGUAUUGACGCAACUUCAUGAAUAAUCCGUUUUCUUGUUGGCUACAACCAUGGUUCUUCCCAGGCUACGGGUGGUGUCUGGUUGGAGUCUUCCCAGGGUGUAUUUGUCUGGGUACCAUCAGUAUGGUCACUACAUGGCUACUAGGUAAGGUUGUUACAUCUUUCUGAUGUGUUGCAGCUUUAACACUUAUUUUUCUAUUCCUGGCUAGCAGCUCUGUAUUAACCUGGAUCCUGAUAUCAUUUGGCUAUGCUGCUCUACAACCUUGAAUAAAUGACUUUAAAAUGUU
Molecule: long non-coding RNA, 1646 nt
Organism: Salvelinus fontinalis (brook trout)
Lineage: Eukaryota; Metazoa; Chordata; Actinopteri; Salmoniformes; Salmonidae
Exons: 3
Source: RefSeq, a predicted model, not a curated record